RNAcentral lists this ribosomal RNA (460 nucleotides) under uncultured bacterium. Its description in RNAcentral is "partial 16S ribosomal RNA". It matches the Rfam family "Bacterial small subunit ribosomal RNA", at positions 338 to 795 of the family's 1533-position model. The record is from RNAcentral.
CCUACGGGAGGCAGCAGUGAGGAAUAUUGGUCAAUGGACGAGAGUCUGAACCAGCCAAGUAGCGUGAAGGAUGACUGCCCUAUGGGUUGUAAACUUCUUUUAUAUGGGAAUAAAAUGUUCCACGUGUGGGAUUUUGUAUGUACCAUAUGAAUAAGGAUCGGCUAACUCCGUGCCAGCAGCCGCGGUAAUACGGAGGAUCCGAGCGUUAUCCGGAUUUAUUGGGUUUAAAGGGAGCGUAGGUGGAUUGUUAAGUCAGUUGUGAAAGUUUGCGGCUCAACCGUAAAAUUGCAGUUGAAACUGGCAGUCUUGAGUACAGUAGAGGUGGGCGGAAUGCGUGGUGUAGCGGUGAAAUGCUUAGAUAUCGCGAAGAACUCCGAUUGCGAAGGCAGUUCACUGGACUGAAACUGACACUGAGGCUCGAAAGUGUGGGUAUCAAACAGGAUUAGAUACCCCUGUAGUC